CUACGGUUUUUCGUUCAUGAUGCUGAUUUAAUUUCCAUUAUCACCCGAACCAGUAUGGUAAUGAUUCAAACGGAGAAAGUCAGCGCAAUACCAAAGCCGCGCUUUCGAAACAAAACUACGUUCCUGCCCCCGGCCUUAGUUAAAAGAAGAGAACAAAAGAGUUCGGACGGUAAAUAUUCCCUGCUUUAGAAAAACAUCUCGGCAGAUUUGUGCUCUGAAGAAAAAAAAAAAAAAAUGGCCGUGAAGGAAGCCGACGCAACAGUCUUCCGGCAACAGUUUAUGGAAAAUCAGCUCAGCAUGAAUGCAGAAGUGGCAGAUACACAAUUGCUGGUGGUCCUCAUGACAUUGAGGCUCUGAUUUGGAUCCAAAAGAAGACACAUGAGAAAUAUAUUAUGUAGUUCUGCUCAUCUCUAAGGUGUUCUCAAAAAUGUAUUGCGGUGGGUCACUUAACUUGUAAUUGCACCAGUCUCCAAUUAAUGGAAUUGUUUUGUUUAUGAGUUUUUCCUUGUUUGUUACAUGCCUUACAUUCGAUCUUGUAAAAGCAUAGCUAAGACAGCACGCCAUUUUGUGCUAAUUAAUUUAAAACAUCCAAAACAAAUUUUCUAUUUUUAGGUGUUCUUACAACUUUCAAAACUAUCUUUAAGAAAAAGUUUCCCAGCGCCGAGCAAAGGUCUCACCAUGAAGAUUUGUUUUCUUUUUUUUUUUUUUUCAGAGGGCUCUCCAGGAAUGGGACAUUUUUCGACUUUCAAAAGUGUUUUCCUUUGUUAUGUCACCAUUUUUUUCUCUCUUCUUUUGAUUCUUCAUGUUGUUCAAAAACUUUUUUGAACCAAAUGAUUUUUUAAGGUUAUGCCACAUGAAAAAGCAUUCAUGUUUUUACGAAUGAUCUACC
Molecule: long non-coding RNA, 889 nt
Organism: Uloborus diversus
Lineage: Eukaryota; Metazoa; Arthropoda; Arachnida; Araneae; Uloboridae
Exons: 3
Source: RefSeq, a predicted model, not a curated record